GUGUGCUGUAUAUCUGUAGAAUUUUUUAUAUGAACGCUGAAAUGCUGGUUAGUGCUGAGCUCCAGCCGUGAGCCACUCAGCGCCGAGCCUAGCUAGGACUAGGGAGUCAAACAGCGGAUAUGGAUGGACAGCGACACACAUUGCCUUCGUCAUCUGUAUUACACGGGCUUCUACAUUAUGAACGACAUCUGUCUUCAUAAAAACAAGAUUAAAUAAGAUUUACAAGAUAAUUGAGAGAAAGAGAGAAAGAGAAAGAGAGAAGGAAAAAGAUCUUGAUACAGCGCGAGACGCGACGCGAGGCGCUCUUUGCAUGACUGACUGCGACCUGCCGCCUUCGUAAAAUUAGAAAACGUAUUUCGCGGUGAAAAGGCCAUGCAAGUUAACCAAGAGAUGGCGCAUCACACACACACAUAUAAUGCACGCGAAAAAGCCGACAACAGAAAGGACAGAGGGGUCUUUUCAUAGCAAUCACUAAGCCAGCAGCAGCCCAACCUUUCCUCCACAACCACCAACCAUCCACCCCGUGUGACCGCAUUCCGGGGAAGAAGAUUUUCAUAUCAUCAUCAUCAUCAUCAUCAUCAUCAUCGUCUUCUAUGGGGCAUAUAAGCAGAACGUCCACGUCACUCGUCGUGAACAAGUGAGAGCCAAAGCAUGCGGGUGAUGAAGCCACUAACCAACCAAAACCACCCAACCACCAACCGGCAGGCUUCCCUGUUCGGUGCUCUCCUCCUCCUUUUACAUAUACGACAUAUGCCGAAGCUAAAGUGAGAGAGUACGUCCAAUAUUAAGCUGCGGAGAUCCCCCGAGCGACACUUCAUCAAUGUCAGCUGCGGGCGUUAAGACUCUCCUCGAAGCACAAUGCGUCACAAAGAGAAACUUAAGGCCCAAACUUAAGGCAGCAAUUCGUUUCCCAGGCACCCGUUAGGCACUUCAUUCCGGCCCACCAGGUUCUUUUCAAAGGCGAGAGAAGAUGUUGGGCUGUGCGAGUGGGCAACGGCCAACAGACAACGGACGAGAGCGUGGUGUCACCGUCACCGUUAAGCGUAACCGCAACCUAACAACCUCCAGCCACUAAUUACGAACCGUUUCCACAGCGAGAGAAGUCGAGAGGUGCGAUCCUGCCGUUUCUCGGCGGGCGAUUACGUGUGCCGUACACAUCUAUGAAGACACAGAAGACCAUACCCGCCAUACCAUACCAUACACAGCAGUCACACAGCGCCACGGCAAGUAUGGAGACACAUACAUACGUACAUACACACAUAAAGACAGACGCAACACAUGCACUGACGCGAGGUGGUUAACACUAACUAACACUUAACCAACCCAGAGGAUGACGCGUUGCCUGUUUGUCUUGCAUUGCACAUUCAAGUAUGUUAGCAUGUGUGCCAGUAUGUAUGCGCGUGUGCCAUACAUACGUACGUUCAUACAUAUAACAUUCAACAUUCAAAACGCUGUUACUCGGGCCAAAUGAGCGCGACACGCGUAACACCCAAACGAACCAAACCAACUGGCCAGAAGAAAGAACACCACAACAUGAAAACAACGCGCCCAACCACACAUACAGUAAACACACGCGCGCACACACACACACAUAGUUUCCCCUCCUCUCCUCCCAUCCUUACCCCUCCCAUCCAUAUCCCCUCCCCCUACCAUUCCCUGC
Molecule: long non-coding RNA, 1660 nt
Filed under: Volvox carteri
Lineage: Eukaryota; Viridiplantae; Chlorophyta; Chlorophyceae; Chlamydomonadales; Volvocaceae
Description: long non-coding RNA (VCAR_LNC002341)
Source: RNAcentral